This 433-nucleotide ribosomal RNA is filed under the name uncultured bacterium. Its description in RNAcentral is "partial 16S ribosomal RNA". It matches the Rfam family "Bacterial small subunit ribosomal RNA", at positions 29 to 507 of the family's 1533-position model. The record is from RNAcentral.
AACGAACGCUGGCGGCAUGCCUAACACAUGCAAGUCGAACGAUGCUUUCGGGCAUAGUGGCGCACGGGUGCGUAACGCGUGGGAAUCUGCCCUUGGGUUCGGAAUAACAGUGAGAAAUUGCUGCUAAUACCGGAUGAUGUCUUCGGACCAAUGAUUUAUCGCCCAGGGAUGAGCCCGCGUAGGAUUAGCUAGUUGGUGGGGUAAUGGCCUACCAAGGCGACGCUCCUUAGCUGGUCUGAGAGGAUGAUCAGCCACACUGGGACUGAGACACGGCCCAGACUCCGACGGGAGGCAGCAGUGGGGAAUAUUGGACAAUGGGCGCAAGCCUGAUCCAGCAAUGCCGCGUGAGGGAUGAAGGCCUUAGGGUUGUAAAGCUCUUUUACCCGGGAGGAUAAUGACAGUACCGGGAGAAUAAGCACCGGCUAACUCCGUG